UGUCAGCCAUCUCAAUUGUCAGAGAAGGUUUAUUUUUUUCUGGAAUCGGAAUUGAUCGAGGACUAGUUUGUAUCCGAAUGCAGUAAUUGUUUAUAAUACGACAGCUGGACUGCUUCGGUGUUUUCUGGCUCAGGUUUUGCUGCCGCUGAAGAUCGUUCGGCGCACCGCGUACUGCGGCUUCUGUUUGUGCGAGACUGCUGACAAUGUUUGGCAUCGAGAUCAUCGCAGCCCUGAUUGGCGUCGGCGGAAUUGCCGCGGCCUAUUUCAUUAUUUCCUACAGUCUCCGCGAAAAGACUUACGAAGAGGCUCUGGCUGAGCAGCGCGGUGGUCGUGGCGAUGCUGCAAAGGCGCUGAAAAAGGACAAGCUCACGAAAAAACCGAAGAAGAAGGUCACAAGCGACGGCGGGAGUAGUGACGCAGGAUCUCCUGUAAAAGAGCGGAAAAUCCCAACUGUAGCCAAAGAAAAGCACACAAAAGAAGCAGAAAAACCAAAAGAUGGCCCGGUAGCCGCUGCACACAUUCCCGAAAAAAUUAAGCAUCGUCCGGAUGAGCUGGAAACGGUCGCUGGUGAGGGAAAAGUCAAACCAGCUGGGAAAAUCCCAUCUGCGCCCGCCGCCAAGAAAACGGAGAAAAAGGUAGAAAAUGAUCACCGCAAGCCUGAUGAAACCUAUGCGGAGGCCGUUAAGCUUCAUGCGGAUAAUAUACCUGUGGAGAAAAAGCAAGAACAAGUUGGAAAAGCGAAGGAGCAACAAGAGGGUGCUGUAAAGACAAAGGAGCACAAACAGGAGAGUGGUAAGAAGGAACGCGACACUGCGACGGCGACGCAGGUUAAAAGUGCUCCUGUGGAGCAUGAAGCUCCCAAGAAAACCAAGACCGAGGUACGAAGUGAGAAACCUGUGAAGCAGGACACACGCGGAGCGCACAAGGAAGACGCCAAGAAGGCUGUUGCACCUGCUGUCAAUGGACUUACUUCCGGCUCUGUGUAUCAGGAGGUUUUGGGAUUGUUGAAUUCCAUCCCAUUAUCGGACGCAGAGACUCAGAAACUGUUCCAGAUUUUGAUUGAUAAACAGAGUGAACGUCAUACGGAAUGGGUUCAGCUGGGGAAAAGCAAACAAGUCGAUCCUUCUACGAUUGCAAAGCGAUUAAUUGCGGACAGAGAGCGAGAGCUCGUGGAAGAGAAAGAAUUAAACAAAGCUUUGGCUGACCAGUUACGAGAUAUGAAGAACUUGUUGAAUGCUGAAAAGUCGCGUCUGCGCGAAGUAAACGAUGUCGCUCGUGUAACGGCAGAGCGCGUGCCGACUCUGGAAACGGAAGUGAAAAAUUUGACUGGUCGAUUGAAGCAAGGACAGGACAAGCACGCCGUGGAGAUUACGCAGAUGACUCAGAAACUCCAGGAAGCCGAAUCCCGAGCGGCGAUGAAAAUCAAGCAUUUAGAGGAGCGACUGCAUGAACACAGCCAACAUUCAGUGGUCCAUGUCCAAAACGGAAACGGGGAAUUGCGAGGUGAACUGGAAACCCUGCGCGCUGAACGCGACCGUCUGCUGCAGGAGGUGAACCAUAAUCGCAGUCAAACCCAACAUCUUGAACAGCAGAUUAAAGAUCUACAACACGAAAAAGAACAAAUUCAGUCGCAGGAUAACCAGUCGCACGACUCUGAUGAUGCAAUGCGUGAGGAACUUGACCGUCUGCGCCAGAGUGCCGCCGAAACGGAAACCCAAGUGCGUAGUUACAACGAGCUGGAAGAGAAAUAUACCGAGAAGGUGUCGAGCUUGCAGCGCUUACGGGAGGAACUUGAAAGUUUGAGGGGCCACUCUGCAGAACAAAGCCAGAACGAUGGAAACCGACAGGAGGAAGUCGAUAAAUUGCGUCAGAGGAUAUCUCAGCUUGAAAACGCUCUCACGGAAAGUGAAUCAAAACAUCACGAGACUGCGAAACAUGCGCGGGAUGAAGGAUUUGAACACGCAAAGAACCAGUACGAGCCGGAAGUUCACAAAGCUGACAAAGCGCAUCGAGAAAUGUUGUCUAGAUUGCUGCCUCAUGUGAAUGUUGACCCUUCUUUGAAUCGUGGGGAUUGGUUAGCGCAGUUUGAAGGUUCAGCUCGCAGUUCGCUUCAGUCUGCUGAUAAAUCCGAUGAGGUGGGUGAACUUAGAAGGCAGUUGGAUGAACUGAAAGGAGCCCACGAAGCUGCCGAACGCUAUCGGGUAGCACUGAAUCAGACUGAGGAGAAAUUGCGCUCUGUGGAGCGUAGUGUGGAGUCAGAAGAGGAAAAGUGGGAAUUGGUUGAGAAAAAAGCUUUGGAUUAUGAAGAUAAAUGUAAAAAUUUGGAAACUCAGUUGUCGGAGGUGGUCAGUGAGAAGGAGAAUGUUCAUAAACUUCUGGAAGAACGUUCCUCUUCGAUCACUGAGAUGGAACACCGUCUGCGCGAAAAUGAAGAGCGUCUGCGCGCCUUUUCUGCCGUGGAGAGCAGACUGAACAGCCUUCAAGAGGAAGCCGAAAGAAUGAAAGCGGAUCUGGGCGAGACACGCCGCCAUAAAGAUGAACUGCUGUCUGAGGUGACGUCACUGCGAGAGAACUUGAGUGAAGCGCAGCGGCUUCGUAGCGAGCAUGAAGAACGGAUUGAUAGCUUAUUGGCGGAAGUCAAUGAACGACGAGUGUCGUCUGGUGAUACGAAUGACCUCCGAAGGGAAGUGCAGGAUUUGCGUAAUUCCCUUGACUUUGAACGGGAUAAUGCCCGGAAAUUGGCUCAAGAAGUGAUACGCUCCAAAAGCUUGAUUCAAAGCGGUUUGGAUGCGCUGCGGAAAGAAGAGGAUACGGUUUUGAGACUCCAGCAGGCUUUGGAGUCCUACCAGCGUGGUGUCAAUGGCACUGAUGGUGGGGGAGACCGCAUUAUUCAUGACACAGCGCACCGGUAGAAGUGACAGUGAAGGGGACCGCGGUAUCGUGCGUAAGAAGCGGAAGCGGUUGUCGAAGCGCAGUUUUUUGAAAGCCUUCUUAUGCGGUACCUGAAGAACUGCGAUACGAUUAAUCCGGCGCCUCGGAAUAUUUUUGUGAAUUGUGACUGUGUGGGUUCCCAGCGGAAGUAGAUCGUCCAUUUAUGCAUCGAGUCCGUCGUGUCUUUUCUACCACAGCCCGAUUAUAACCUCCUUUUAAUCCUCAUUGGGGUGUUUUUAUAAAUAUAUUUAUUUGGAUUUGUACUGCUGGUUUAUUGCUAGUGAGACAGAGAGGAGGAUUUAUUCAUUCCGUUUAUUGUUAAUGGUCCUAGUAUGCUCAGUUCAUGUUUCAUUAGGCUGUUUUUGGUCACAGUUUGUUUGUUUUUUAGAAAGACUGGUUGGGUGCGUUAAUUUAAUUAUUAUUCUGUUUUUACGGUCGCUUUUACCUCGUGAAUGUGUAAAUGAGAAUGCUAUUUGAGAGUUAUGCUUUACUUGUUUUUAUCUCUUUUUAACUGUGCACAAACAAAAUGAAUUGCAAAAUGGUAA
Molecule: RNA transcript, 3476 nt
Organism: Paramacrobiotus metropolitanus
Lineage: Eukaryota; Metazoa; Tardigrada; Eutardigrada; Parachela; Macrobiotidae
Gene name: ribosome-binding protein 1-like
Exons: 20
Source: RefSeq, a predicted model, not a curated record